AGUGGCAGGUUCCAACCUGGCCCCAGCCAAACUGCAACAACAACAACAACAACAACAACAACAACAACAGCAGCAGCAAAUAGGCAUUGUGGUGGGCACUUGUAGUUC
This 108-nucleotide microRNA precursor is filed under the name Otolemur garnettii (small-eared galago). RNAcentral's name for it is "miRNA (ENSOGAG00000034574.1)". Lineage: Eukaryota; Metazoa; Chordata; Mammalia; Primates; Galagidae. The record is from RNAcentral.